This 561-nucleotide ribosomal RNA is filed under the name Pseudeuophrys erratica. Its description in RNAcentral is "partial 16S ribosomal RNA". The stretch from base 170 to 464 matches the Rfam family "Bacterial large subunit ribosomal RNA", at positions 2074 to 2646 of the family's 2925-position model. The record is from RNAcentral. Lineage: Eukaryota; Metazoa; Arthropoda; Arachnida; Araneae; Salticidae.
UUAAUAGUAAGAUCUGCUCAAUGAAUAUUUAAAUAGCCGCAACCCGUGCUAAGGUAGCAUAAUCAUUUGUCUUUUAAUUUAAGACUAGAACAAAAGAUUUAACAUUUUAAUAAAUUUAUUUAAUUUAAUAAUUAAAAUUUUACAAAUAGUAAAAAUACUAUUAUAUAUAAGAAAGACGACAAGACCCUAUUAAACUUAACUUUAGUUAUACUGGGGCAGUAAAUUAAUUAUUAUUUUAAUAAAAAUAUUAUUCAAUAUAUCCUUUAUAAUAGAAUUAACUAGUUACUAUAGGGAUAACAGCGCAAUUAUUUUUAUAAGCUCUUAUAUAAAAAAUAGAUUACGACCUCGAUGUUGAAUUAAUUACCUAAAUAAGGUAAAUCUUAAAUAAGGAAGUCUGUUCGACUUUUAAAAAAUUACAUGAUUUGAGUUCAGACCGGUGUAAGCCAGGUCGGUUUCUAUCUUCUAUAUAGUUUUAUGUAGUACGAAAGGACCUAUAAAUAUAAUAUAAUUAAAUUAUAUUGGCAGAAAAAUGCAUUAGAAUUAGAAUCUAAUAAAACUUAA